UACGGAGGGUGCGAGCGUUAUCCGGAUUCACUGGGUUUAAAGGGUGCGUAGGUGGGCAGGUAAGUCAGUGGUGAAAUCUCCGGGCUUAACCCGGAAACUGCCGUUGAUACUAUCAGUCUUGAAUACCGUGGAGGUAAGCGGAAUAUGUCAUGUAGCGGUGAAAUGCUUAGAUAUGACAUAGAACACCAAUUGCGAAGGCAGCUUACUACCCGAAUAUUGACACUGAGGCACGAAAGCGUGGGGAUCAAACAGG
This 253-nucleotide ribosomal RNA is filed under the name uncultured bacterium. RNAcentral describes it as "partial 16S ribosomal RNA". It matches the Rfam family "Bacterial small subunit ribosomal RNA", at positions 524 to 776 of the family's 1533-position model. The record is from RNAcentral.